Molecule: ribosomal RNA, 253 nt
Filed under: uncultured bacterium
Lineage: Bacteria
Description: partial 16S ribosomal RNA
Rfam family: Bacterial small subunit ribosomal RNA
Source: RNAcentral
UACGGAGGGUGCAAGCGUUAUUCGGAAUUACUGGGCGUAAAGGGCGCGUAGGCUGUCUGUUAAGUCCGAUGUGAAAGCCCUCGACUCAAUCGGGGAAGUGCAUUGGAUACUGGUAGACUGGAGUUCAGGAGAGGAGAACGGAAUUCCCGGUGUAGAGGUGAAAUUCGUAGAUAUCGGGAGGAACAACAGAAGCGAAGGCGGUUCUCUGGACUGAUACUGACGCUGAGGCGCGAAAGCGUGGGGAGCAAACAGG